Heligmosomoides polygyrus is the source of this 75-nucleotide non-coding RNA. The record is from Rfam. NCBI's taxonomy places the organism in Eukaryota, Metazoa, Nematoda, Chromadorea, Rhabditida, Heligmosomidae.
GCGCCGGUGGUGUAAUGGCGUAGAGCAUUCCCGCCCGGUCGGAGGGAGGUGCGGGUUCGAGUCCCGCCUGGCGCU